RNAcentral lists this ribosomal RNA (332 nucleotides) under Tanzanolus sp. SM-2013. RNAcentral's name for it is "eukaryotic LSU rRNA". It matches the Rfam family "Eukaryotic large subunit ribosomal RNA", at positions 656 to 954 of the family's 3401-position model. Lineage: Eukaryota; Metazoa; Arthropoda; Insecta; Coleoptera; Scarabaeidae. The record is from RNAcentral.
GAAACACGGACCAAGGAGUCUAGCAUGUGCGCGAGUCAUUGGGACUAUAAUUAAACCUAAAGGCGCAAUGAAAGUGAAGGUCCGCCUAGCGCGGACCUAGGGAAGACGGGCCGUCCGCGGACGCGCCCCGCACUCCCGGGGCGUCUCGUUCUCAUCGCGAGAAGAGGCGCACCUAGAGCGUACACGCUGGGACCCGAAAGAUGGUGAACUAUGCCUGGUCAGGACGAAGUCAGGGGAAACCCUGAUGGAGGUCCGUAGCGAUUCUGACGUGCAAAUCGAUCGUCGGAACUGGGUAUAGGGGCGAAAGACUAAUCGAACCUUCUAGUAGCUGG